AUGCACGCUGGCGGCGUGCUUAACACCUGCAAGUCGAACGGAAAGGCCGAAGCUUGCUUCGGUACUCGAGUGGCGAACGGGUGAGUAACACGUGGGUGAUCUGCCCUGUACUUCGGGAUAAGCUUGGGAAACUGGGUCUAAUACCGGAUAUGACGAUCUCUUGGAUGGGGUUGUGGAAAGCUUUUGCGGUAUGGGAUGAGCUCGCGGCCUAUCAGCUUGUUGGUGGGGUAAUGGCCUACCAAGGCGUCGACGGGUAGCCGGCCUGAGAGGGUGUACGGCCACAUUGGGACUGAGAUACGGCCCAGACUCCUACGGGAGGCAGCAGUGGGGAAUAUUGCACAAUGGGCGCAAGCCUGAUGCAGCGACGCCGCGUGGGGGAUGACGGCCUUCGGGUUGUAAACUCCUUUCGCAAUCGACGAAGCCUUUUGGUGACGGUAGGUUGAGAAGAAGCACCGGCUAACUACGUG
This 467-nucleotide ribosomal RNA is filed under the name uncultured bacterium. Its description in RNAcentral is "partial 16S ribosomal RNA". It matches the Rfam family "Bacterial small subunit ribosomal RNA", at positions 29 to 507 of the family's 1533-position model. The record is from RNAcentral.